UGGCUCAGAUUGAACGCUGGCGGCAGGCCUAACACAUGCAAGUCGGACGGUAGCACAGAGAGCUUGCUCUUGGGUGACGAGUGGCGGACGGGUGAGUAAUGUCUGGGGAUCUGCCCGAUAGAGGGGGAUAACCACUGGAAACGGUGGCUAAUACCGCAUAACGUCGCAAGACCAAAGAGGGGGACCUUCGGGCCUCUCACUAUCGGAUGAACCCAGAUGGGAUUAGCUAGUAGGCGGGGUAAUGGCCCACCUAGGCGACGAUCCCUAGCUGGUCUGAGAGGAUGACCAGCCACACUGGAACUGAGACACGGUCCAGACUCCUACGGGAGGCAGCAGUGGGGAAUAUUGCACAAUGGGCGCAAGCCUGAUGCAGCCAUGCCGCGUGUAUGAAGAAGGCCUUCGGGUUGUAAAGUACUUUCAGCGGGGAGGAAGGCGA
Molecule: ribosomal RNA, 436 nt
Filed under: Pantoea sp. R-45539
Lineage: Bacteria; Pseudomonadati; Pseudomonadota; Gammaproteobacteria; Enterobacterales; Erwiniaceae
Description: bacterial SSU rRNA
Rfam family: Bacterial small subunit ribosomal RNA
Source: RNAcentral